GAGGUGCUGCUAGUGCGGCUGAGAUUCAUGAUGCGGGGCGGGGGCCGAGCAGCUGCGAGGAAGGGCGCGUUACAACCCCCGGCCGACAAGGCAGCCCACACCCGAGCUGGGGACACCCAGGCGGAGCGCUCCGCCAAAGGACGGUGCUUAGAUCGCCCAGAGCGGGAGAGGUGCCCAGGUGAGGUGGACGCUGCUGGUCCAGGACCGCACCGUGAGAACCACGGUCCUGACUAAUAGGGACUGACUGAGGCCUGCUGCCGGAGCCCGCCCAGCACCCAGCGUGGAGAAGCUUUGCUACCAGCUUCAGCUCCUGCCAGAGAGCUUCCAGCCUGCUCUUCCUGACAACCUGUCCUACAGAUCUCAGACUUGCCUAGCCACCUCUCAUGAUUGCAUUAGCCAAUUCCUUGUGCUACCUCCCUGACUGAUAACACCUGUUGAUGGAUAUUUGGGUAGUUUCCAGUUGUGGACUAUUAUGAAUAAAAAUGCUAUGAACAUUUGAGAGCAAGUCUUUGCAUGGAUAUAUGUUUUAGUUUUUCUGGGAUAAAUACCUAGGAGUGGAAUUGCUGGAUCAUUUGGUGUGCAUUAAACUUUAUGUGAAACUGUAAAACUACUUUAAAAAUUCCUGUACCAGUUUGUAUUUCUACCAGAAAUGUAUGAAAAUUCCAGUUGCUCUACAUCUUUGUCAGCACUUGGCAUUGUCAGUCUUCUUAAUUUUAGCCAUUCUAGUGGAUGUACAUAGUGACAUGUGGUUUUUAUUUAUCUUUUUUUGAUGACAAAUGAUGUUGAGUAUUUUUUCAAAUGUUUAUUGGUCAUUUGUGUAUCUUCUUUUGCAAAAAUACCUGUUCAAAUAUUUUGUUCAUUUUAAAAUUGAGUUAUUCUUAUUGAAUUGUGGUUCUUUAUACAUAUUUGGAUGCAUGUUCUGUGUCAAGUAUACGUAUUCCAAAGAUUUUUCACUCCCGUCUAUGGCUUGUCUUUUCAUUUAAAAAAAUGGUAUCAUUUGGAGAGCAGAAAUUUAAAAAUUUGAUGAAGUCAAAUAUUUCUUUUAUGCCUUAUGCUUUUGGUAUUUUAAGAAAUCUUUGCUUAACCCAUUAAAAAUUUUUCCUGUUUCCUUCUAGAAGCCUUGUAGUUUUAGCUUUUACUUUUACAACUGUGAUCCAUUUGAAGUUAAUUUUCGUGCAUAGUGUUUGGUAAGGGUCGAGUUUCCUUUUUUUCCUCCUAAGUGGUUAUCUAAUUCCUCUAGCACCAUUUUUGGAAAAGACUAUUCUUUCUCUAUUGAACUACCUUGGCAUUUCAAAAAUCAAUUAACCAUAUAUGUUGGUCUAUUUCUGGAUUUUAUUCUGUUACAUUGGUCUGUCUACCCUAGUGCUGAUACCACACUCUCUUGACUACUGUACCAUUAUAGUAAAUCUUGAAAUCAGGUAGUUGAGUCCUCCAACUCUGUUCUUCUAUUUCAAAACUGUUUUGGCUCUUCCAGAUUCUUUGCAUUUUCGUAUAAAUUUUAGAAUCAGCUUGUUGCCAGUUUCUAAAAAAAAAAAAAAAGAAAAAGCCUCUGGGAUUUUUAUUGGGAUCCUGUUGCAUGCAUAGUUCAAUUUGGGGAGAAUUGUCAUCCCGAUUUUGAGACAUCCAAUGCAUGAACACGUUGUAAUCUCUUCAUUUGUUUAGAUCUUUAAUUUUCUUAGCAAUGUUUUACAGAUUUUAGUGUUCAGAUCCAGCACAUCUCUUGUUAAAUUUAUUCCUAUGUAUUUCAUGUUUUCAGAUGCUAUAGCAAAUAGUAUAUACUUCAAAAUUUCAUGUCCUAAUAGUUUACUUUUAGUAUAUAGAAAUACAGUUGGUUUUCAUAUACUGACCUUGUAUUCUGAUUUUGCUAAAUUCAUUUAUUAGUUCCAGUAGCUUUUUUGUACC
Long non-coding RNA from Balaenoptera acutorostrata (minke whale), 1902 nucleotides. RefSeq lists it as uncharacterized. The record is from RefSeq and is a predicted model, not a curated record. The transcript has 3 exons. Lineage: Eukaryota; Metazoa; Chordata; Mammalia; Artiodactyla; Balaenopteridae.